ACUCCUACGGGAGGCAGCAGUGGGGAAUCUUGGACAAUGGGGGCAACCCUGAUCCAGCCAUGCCGCGUGAGUGAAGAAGGCCUUAGGGUCGUAAAGCUCUUUCGCCUGUGAAGAUAAUGACGGUAGCAGGUAAAGAAACCCGGCUAACUCCGUGCCAGCAGCCGCGGUAAUACGGGAGGGGGUUAGCGUUGUUCGGAAUUACUGGGCGUAAAGCGCGCGUAGGCGGACCAGAAAGUUGGGGGUGAAAUCCCGGGGCUCAACCCCGGAACUGCCUCCAAAACUCCUGGUCUUGAGUUCGAGAGAGGUGAGUGGAAUUCCGAGUGUAGAGGUGAAAUUCGUAGAUAUUCGGAGGAACACCAGUGGCGAAGGCGGCUCACUGGCUCGAUACUGACGCUGAGGUGCGAAAGUGUGGGAGCAAACAGGAUUAGAUACCCUGGUAGGACAGUG
This 447-nucleotide ribosomal RNA is filed under the name uncultured bacterium. Its description in RNAcentral is "bacterial SSU rRNA". It matches the Rfam family "Bacterial small subunit ribosomal RNA", at positions 335 to 804 of the family's 1533-position model. The record is from RNAcentral.